UUGAUCAUAUUUCACAUUUUAUUGUGUCAUGUAGUGCGGGGCGCUGGUCUUGGUCUUGUCUUGGUCUCGGGUUAGUUGAUCUUGACUGCAAUACUGGCCUGCAUUACUCUAGAGAAAUGUGACAUGGGUAAAUCUAAGUGAUGUUAGUUUUUAAUAUAGUAUAGAUGAUUGAAUGUAUUAAUAAUUUUACUCUAACAUCAGCAGAUCUGCUGAUGGCAUUGACCUCCCACUGGUGUGAAGUAGCUUUGUUUUUAAAGGUUAAGUGAACAGUUGUAGUAAGGUUCACCUGUUUCUACCUGAGUUAUCCAGGUACAAUGUUAAAAAUUUAUUGUACAACUUGUGUAAACUUGGACAAUUUUUACAAUAAAUCUUUAUAAAAAUGACAAGCCUUAGUGGGAACUUUGAAACACUUAAGCUCACUAGUAUUUAUUUGGAUGCAGUGGUAGAACUCUAGUCACCAUCACUGUACUGUAACUUCACAUUGUAGAUGCUAUUAGUGAUCAUCUACUGAGUUCUGUAUGAGCUGCUUGGACCAGUUUGAUACUUGAGUCAUUCAAGUGGCUGAAUUUUGAAUAGAACAUUUCUGUGAUGAUACAUAUGACUUAUGACGAUACAUAUGGCUGUUACUGACACUCUUUAGUCCUAUUUUGUCUCCAUGACGUAAAACCUUGUAGGGUUGUUUUAAAUGUUAAGUUAGCUACAAUGCUGAGGUUUAAGCACCUUCCUUAUCCAUGAAUUUCUCAUUUUGGUAGGAAAAUACAUGAAGGUAUUUCAAAGUGUGAGACAUAUACCAGCUUAAAGCAUAAUGAAAAUUUCUGAGCCAUUCAAUACAAACUAUGUCCAUGACUGGUGAACUGAGGGCUCAUAGAUAUCUCCCACACAUUUUGCUAAAUCUGAAUUUUAGCCUCUGGUCAGUUUGAAGAACAGAAAUAUGCACAUUUGUAAAGCAACAUUAAAAUUCAAUGUCGGUAGCCUUGAUGAGAAAGCCAAGCCAAUCUGAUACAACCAGAUAAGUAAAACAGUUUCAUCACUUCUCUCGCUCUCUCUCUCUCUCGCUCUUUGUCUGUUUGUGCUGGGAAAACAGUAUUUGCCCCUUUAAAUAUUUCUUCUGUUUUUGCAUCUUUCAUUGCACCAGCAACAAAAGGCGUGGUCUUCAGGGGGAUGGUGCCUAUCUCCAAAAGCAGUUUACAUCUGUGUUACAUUGUGGACAGGUCACCAGUCCAACACAGGCCAAGGUCAUCAAAUUUUACAAUUAAUCUAAAAAGAUCUGAGUAAAGACACAUAGCAAUCUUCAAAUGAUAGUUGCCUUUAAAAGCUAUGCUGGCCGUAUGUGUAUACAUAGUUCCACUUCCUGUCGCCCUGCAUUUCUAAUGUAUUGACUGUGAUCAACCAUAAUACCUAUAGACCGUCAUUAUUUGAGCUGAAGUGUUCUUGGGUUAAGCAGCAAGAUAAGCAUGAUACAACAAAUCCAUCACUGGCUCAAAGGAAUGAAAUGAUAUAUAUAUGUAUAUAAUUAAGUAAGGAUACCACAUAUGAACUAUUGUGCUCAUUCAUUCAUUCAUUCAGAAGUGCCAUUGUCCUGAACUGAACACAGCUGUUAAAUAAUCCUACUAGACCAACUGAACUCGUUUCAAGAAGGUUUUUAGAUUUUAGACUUCAGAUAAAUGAUGUGAUAAUGAAACUUCAUUGCUCCACUAAAUACUGUCUUUAAAAAUAUGCUAAUGCAAUUCAUUUUUUAAAUAUCUGCAAGCUAACACACUGGAUCAAACACGUUCUAUGUUAAUGGUGAAGAAAACCCUUUUAGAGAGCGACUUAAAGUAAUAUUGAUUUAUAAGGGAGUUGAACGUGUUAGGGAAUGUGUCGGUAGCUUAACAAGUUGAAUCUAUUUCUAAAGGAAGGAAAAAUGGCUGCAGAGUGAAUAAGCAAAUGAAUGUCAUUGUAAGAUAUAUUUAUGAAAUCUGUACAAUAUUCAGAGGUUUUAUUUUCCAGGUGUCUGAUCUGAGCCGUCUCUUAGUUCUUCUUUGUAUUUUCUCAUGCUGUGAUUUUUGAAUGUUUGUCAUAGAUGCUGUAUUACUGUACAUGAGCUUAUGUGUGAUUUCAUUUGUGAAGAAAAGAUACCAAAUAAACUACUGUCAUCCA
This is a long non-coding RNA of Xiphophorus maculatus (southern platyfish), 2139 nucleotides long. RefSeq lists it as uncharacterized. The record is from RefSeq and is a predicted model, not a curated record. The transcript has 2 exons. NCBI's taxonomy places the organism in Eukaryota, Metazoa, Chordata, Actinopteri, Cyprinodontiformes, Poeciliidae.